This 468-nucleotide ribosomal RNA is filed under the name uncultured bacterium. RNAcentral's name for it is "partial 16S ribosomal RNA". It matches the Rfam family "Bacterial small subunit ribosomal RNA", at positions 28 to 507 of the family's 1533-position model. The record is from RNAcentral.
GACGAACGCUGGCGGCGCGCCUAACACAUGCAAGUCGAACGGAGCUGAGAGAAGCUUGCUUUUCUUAGCUUAGUGGCGAACGGGUGAGUAACGCGUGAGUAACCUGCCCUGGAGUGGGGGACAACAGUUGGAAACGACUGCUAAUACCGCAUAAGCCCACGAUCCGGCAUCGGAUUGAGGGAAAAGGAUUUAUUCGCUUCAGGAUGGACUCGCGUCCACUUAGCUAGUUGGUGAGGUAACGGCCCACCAAGGCGACGAUUGGUAGCCGGACUGAGAGGUUGAACGGCCACAGUGGGACUGAGACACGGCCCAGACUCCUACGGGAGGCAGCAGUGGGGGAUAUUGCACAAUGGGGGAAAACCUGAUGCAGCGACGCCGCGUGGAGGAAGAAGGUUUUCGGAUUGUAAAAUCCUGUAGUUAGGGACGAUAAUGACGGUACCUAACAAGAAAGCACCGGCUAACUACGUG